Miniopterus natalensis is the source of this 1058-nucleotide non-coding RNA. Lineage: Eukaryota; Metazoa; Chordata; Mammalia; Chiroptera; Miniopteridae. The record is from RefSeq and is a predicted model, not a curated record.
AGAUCCUUUUGAGACUUCACCUGGCAAUUUAAGGUGGAAAUCUAAUGUACCGUAAUUAAAUGAUAGCCUAAUCUCAGUGUUUACUUAGCACUUAAUAUAUUUGUCUUUUAAUGUUGCUAUCACUAAAAGAAAUUUAAAGAAUUUCGUUAACAGGUGCAGGGUGCAGGUGAGUUGGUGUAUAAAAAAGUUGUGGCUGUAUUGGUGCAAGUCUGUAAAGUCUAUUUUAUGUUUCUUUCAAAGACUUAAUGUCUUUUGCACUUUAGUGUUGCUUUGGAAAAGAAGUCGAUGUGCAUUAUAUAGGGUAGGGUACGCAAGAAUAUAAUCUUUAAUAGCAAUUUUAAAUGAUGCUACUAUCAUUGUUUUAUUACAGUUAAAAGACCACUUUUACCUACCAACAGCAUUUUUUUAAAAAAAGCAACACAAGCAAAACAGAUUGACGAGCAAGAAGAUAAUUUAAAACGGCUUUUCAGGUUUCCCUGUGCUAUAGAGUUGUAAAGAGGUGUGGCCUUGCAUCGGAUGACUUCCUUCUCCUUUAAGACAUUAUUUAAAUGUGUUUACUCAUCUAAGACAUUUGUUACAUGUGAAGGGAUGUAUUUUUGUUAGAGGUGCCUGAAGUCUUUUUCAGGAUGCUUUUUCAUUUCAGAGUUGCAACAUUGAAGGCAGUGGGCAGAAAUUUGUAUUGUAUUGGUAGGUUCAGUGUUAUUCAAGCCAAAACCAAAAUGUGUUGUUGGUUUUUUCCCUGACAGUUAUGUAGAAUUAUGUUUGUAACUUCAUUAAAACUUAAACUUAAAAAUAUAUCAUUGUAUUAUUAAUUUAGAAGAGUUGGGAUAACAGUAACGUCUUUAAAUUACCUUCUUGGUCAAUGAAGGAGACCCAAAUGAUAUAAAUUAUAAGUACAGUUUAUUUAUAAGCUCCAGAAGGCAGCAACUUUAUCUUCUGAAUUUCUACAUCCCCCCACACUAUUUAGAAAAAAAAAUCCAUGGUGUUCACAUUGUACUGCAGUAAAGAGAGGAAAAUUGUUGUUGUUUUCUUUUUUAAAUAAAACCUCUUGAAAUUAA